CCGUCGGAUCCAAGGCAUCCGGAGCUCAUGUCAGAAAGGAGACACGGAUACAGGGGAGGACAUAAAGGGGGAAAGAGGGGAGGUGCGAUGACACGAGGUCGGACGGGCGGCGGCUUGCUGCUGCAGACGGCAGCGCGGUGCAGUGUGCAGACACAACGGUGGUCAGCCACAACGGUACGGCUUUAUCCGUAGAUCUGCAAGGAUAGCCCUCGGCGGUGACAGCGAGCACUUCAUGGUCGCGGAGCUCGGGGACGUCCACCUGGAUGCACUCGCCGGUGGAGGUGUUGAGGAAGGAGUGGCGGCUGGGCGUGGUGUGUUCCUCCCGGAGCAUCGUCCACCGUCAGGGGUGGAACCGGCGGUCCAUCACGCCGUGUGCGUG
RNAcentral lists this long non-coding RNA (379 nucleotides) under Hordeum vulgare. RNAcentral describes it as "long non-coding RNA (HVUL_LNC013597)". Lineage: Eukaryota; Viridiplantae; Streptophyta; Magnoliopsida; Poales; Poaceae. The record is from RNAcentral.